This 391-nucleotide long non-coding RNA is filed under the name Capsicum annuum. Its description in RNAcentral is "long non-coding RNA (CANN_LNC017476)". Lineage: Eukaryota; Viridiplantae; Streptophyta; Magnoliopsida; Solanales; Solanaceae. The record is from RNAcentral.
CAGGCUUGACAGGCCCGAGUCUUCAUUUGUAGGACUUUGUGGGAUGGGCCCGUGCAUGUAGGCUUGGGUCUUCUUAACGUGCGUCAUUUGACGACUCAGUGCAUGGAUGUCACGAGUCCAUUGGCAUAGGCUUAGGCCUAUUUUGUAAGUGGGCAGUCUUUGGCAGGCCUGGAGAUUCAAUUAAGGGGAGCAGUCUAAUAAAUCGACUGUUGGUGGCAUCACGCUAUCUUAGAUUAGGGAUGAUAAUUCAAUAUAUCGGAAAGACGCUAGGCAAAAAGGUUAGUAAGAAUAGGAAUUGUUAGAUUUCCUGUAUCGGAGAGAGAAGCUGAGUCGGGAUGAGGGAAUUGUUUCUAUGCUUUUCUCAGAUAAUGCGGGUGCGAGAGUGAAGCUA